This 29-nucleotide small RNA is filed under the name Bombyx mori (domestic silkworm). RNAcentral's name for it is "piRNA piR-bmo-1542160". Lineage: Eukaryota; Metazoa; Arthropoda; Insecta; Lepidoptera; Bombycidae. The record is from RNAcentral.
UGAUUGAAGUGUACUGAAGACGCGUCCGU